This 493-nucleotide ribosomal RNA is filed under the name uncultured bacterium. Its description in RNAcentral is "partial 16S ribosomal RNA". It matches the Rfam family "Bacterial small subunit ribosomal RNA", at positions 28 to 507 of the family's 1533-position model. The record is from RNAcentral.
GACGAACGCUGGCGGCGUGCUUAACACAUGCAAGUCGAACGGUGAAGGGACCGGUUUUUGCUGGUUCUGGAUGAGUGGCGAACGGGUGAGUAACACGUGAGUAACCUGCCCCCUUCUUCUGGAUAACCGCAUGAAAGUGUGGCUAAUACGGGAUAUUCUGCGCCUGCUGCAUGGUGGGUGUGGGAAAGAUAUUGUUUCGGUGGGGGAUGGGCUCGCGGCCUAUCAGCUUGUUGGUGGGGUGAUGGCCUACCAAGGCGGUGACGGGUAGCCGGCCUGAGAGGGUGGACGGUCACACUGGGACUGAGACGCGGCCCAGACUCCUACGGGAGGCAGCAGUGGGGAAUAUUGCACAAUGGGCGCAAGCCUGAUGCAGCGACGCCGCGUGAGGGAUGGAGGCCUUCGGGUUGUAAACCUCUUUCGCCAGUGAAGCAGGCCUGUCCCUUUUGUGGGUGGGUUGACGGUAGCUGGAUAAGAAGCGCCGGCUAACUACGUG